Pezoporus occidentalis (night parrot) is the source of this 354-nucleotide long non-coding RNA. RefSeq lists it as uncharacterized. Lineage: Eukaryota; Metazoa; Chordata; Aves; Psittaciformes; Psittacidae. The transcript has 2 exons. The record is from RefSeq and is a predicted model, not a curated record.
UUCCAGGUAUAUCUGUAUUGUUUUAACAACCACUUGAACUUCCUGCAGUACUUUGUUCCAGACCCACCACUUGCUCCGAAAAGCAUCAAUCACACACCAGUUCUGAUGCUCCUUUGUAUAACGUGGAGGAAAAAGACGGUCAAGAACAUCACUCUCUUCUACUUGAAUAUAAACUGCAACAUCAGGACAAAGUCCUCGUUCUGACAAAUACUGGACUUCAUCUGAAGUACGAGGGAAACCAUCCAGUAUAAAUCCUGUUGACCUAAUUGGAAAAUAAGAUAUUUAUCAUUACACGAUGUAGUUUAAAGCACAACACAAGGAAAAUGCAGUUAAUUUGAAAAAAAAACACCAAAA